GGGUCAGUAGGUCGGUCGUGCCACUGGUAUGAACUGGUUUUACUGAUUCCUCCCUCUUGAAGAAUUGUAAUGCCAUUAAUUUGGUGUUGCAGGGAAUCAGGACUGUUACUUUGAAAAAAUUAGAGUGUUUAAAGCAGGUUAUUGCCUGAAUACAUUAGCAUGGAAUAAUGAAAUAGGACGUUUGAUUCUAUUUUGUUGGUUUCUAGGAUCGACGUA
Molecule: ribosomal RNA, 216 nt
Filed under: Campeiostachys nutans
Lineage: Eukaryota; Viridiplantae; Streptophyta; Magnoliopsida; Poales; Poaceae
Description: Elymus nutans partial small subunit ribosomal RNA
Rfam family: Eukaryotic small subunit ribosomal RNA (bases 40-216)
Source: RNAcentral